Molecule: long non-coding RNA, 2869 nt
Filed under: Sorghum bicolor (sorghum)
Lineage: Eukaryota; Viridiplantae; Streptophyta; Magnoliopsida; Poales; Poaceae
Description: long non-coding RNA (SBIC_LNC006869)
Source: RNAcentral
GAUCCUUUUCUUUGUUUAUUUGAUAGUUAAAUUUGAUACUUAAGGACCGUCAACAAACUCCCCCAAGCUUACCUCUUGCUCAUCCCUGAGCAAGGAUAGACUCAGCUAUGGAUCAUAAGUUGUUGCAAUAUCUUUAAAAAUUGACGGUACACAUGCUUUUAAAUGAGGUCUCAUCUCUGAGUUAGAGUAAACUGUCAAGACAUAAAACUUACUUACUUUACCUUUCACCAUGGGACUUGUGUCUUGAGUGGUUAAAAGAUAGAACAGUCCAGUCAAGUGCCAUGUCGCUUAUUCUUGAUCAGCUAUAGCUCUGGAGUUUUUUUGCAGAUUUUCAAAUAAAACUCAGAGAUUCCUUUGUAUGACUCUCUCAUAUCUCUCUUUUGUGGUAUUUCUGGAUCCUUACCAAGGCAGUGAUGGUAUAUGCCUUCUCUCAAAAUAUGUGGUAUUUGUGGUAUAAGGCAUAGUGACAUUGCCUUCUCUCUCACCCUACUCUAAUAAGGCUUUAAUAUCUGGAGCUCAUAGGUGGGAGAUAAAGUAUACAUACUUACAAGACAUUUAUUGUAUAGUCAAACCAUGGAUCCAAAGAAACAAAUCAAUAAGCCAAAUCAAGAUGUGCAUGUGUGGCGAAUGAAUAGUGUAUGGUGAUGAUGGUGAUAACAAUGGUGAAAGUCUAAUUCUACUUUUGCUCUUUUGAGGGGAUACAUACCUUCCUUGCUUUUUGAAACUUUAUGAGGAGAAUGAGAUGCUCUUCUUUUUCUUUUCUCUCAGAUGGGUAUCCUGUACCCCUAAUUCUACUGUCGGACACUUGUCCAUUUUUACCUCUCGUCUCACUCUUUUUUCUUUUCUUUCGAGGUUCCGGGCACUUGCCCCUUUCUUAUUUCCUCGUUUAUUUAUUUUUUCUCUUUUCUUCUCUUUUUUUUUCAGAGCACUCAUCUCUUGAGAUAAUAUAGCAAGUGGUAGUAGCGAGAUAACUUGAGCAUUUAUUUCACAAGGGAAAAACACAGAUGUUUUUGGCUAUUCUCUCCCGAAUUAGGAGUAGAAUAUUUUUAUGUGAUUCUGGAGAUAGAAAUGGAUGGAUAUAUGUGGAUGGUACUUCCGGAGUAGAAGUAGCAUAUAUAUGAGUGAACGUGCAAGUAAAUCUUGAUUUAACCACAUGACAAGCUCCUAAGGGUCUACACAGCUUGACCACACUCAAUGCUCAUAAGCAGUAAAUAAUAAAUGUGUGGCUCAAAGUCUAGCAAGCAUGUAUAUAUGGCUGUGGUAGGAAUUUAAACUCUCAUCAUAUAGGAACUCAUCAUGCAACAUUUUAAAGAUUUUCAAAGAUAAAAUUCUCCAGAAUUCUAGCAUCUCUAGGAACAGAUAAACAGCAGCUCAACCUUCCCAUAUCAUAUCCGUUAACAACUUAGACUUCAGAUCAAGUUUUCAUCCCACAAGUUUAGGUCUAGAGCAAGCUUUAAAUUAUAACAGUUAUAUCUAAACUUGAGAGAGAACUUCAAAUUUGUAAAUUAGGCAGAGCAACUAUUCAUCAUAUCCAUGCUAGAGUUUUAUUAUUAAGAUUCAGAUUAGCAUAGCCACUUUAUUUAUUUAUUAAACACACUAAGCAAAAGAUAUAUAUAUAAGCACAAAAUCUUUAUUUGGUUUUUCAUAGUUUAUGUAUUUUAAUAUUCUAAUAUAAUAUAAGUAUAAAGAUAGGUAGAAAUACUUAGUGAGAUAAAUGGGGGUGCUCUCCCCCAAGCUGAAUUUUGACGUAAUUUCUCUUGAUGUAGCUAGCAGGUGGCAGAGGUGUAUUUGAAAGUCAGCAGCAUUCUGACAGCAAUUAGAAUGUCCUCCUUCUGCUAGUCUUCUUUAUUCUUAAAUUCUGUGGAGCUCAAAUAGACAACAAAGCUUGUGGAACUAAUUAAGUGUUAGCAUAAAUAUCUAGCCUUCAUCACGUUGAGCUUCCUCAAUAAAUAUUACUCCCUGUUUUUAUAUUUUUAUUUUAUAAAGUAGAAAAGAAAUAUUUAUUUUAUUUUUAUGCCACCACAGUGAAGGUACUUAUGGGUUUUAUGCCACUCGUAUACUCACAUGGGGCUUAGUAUUUUUUUUAACAUUUUUAUUUUCUUUUCAAGAUAGCAUGAUUAACUAAUAAUCUAUUUAAGGAAAGUAAAUAAUUAAAUGGAAAAGGGAAUGCGGAAAGGAUAAAUAUGGAUAACUACCAAUCUUACCUUUCGGCGAGGGUUCAAUGUUUUAAGUCUUCUUGUCAAGACUUCUCGUCGUGUUCAUUCUUCAGGUGCGUCAUUUGAUUCAGGUGUGGACCUUGACGUCUGCACCUCUUAAUACGGUGUCACCCAUGUUCUUCGUUUGCCCAGCAGUUCGAAGUGCGGUGUUAGCAGUAUCUUGCUCAGUGUGUUUGUGCUCGUAGUGUACCUGCUCAUAGAGACAAGGCAGAGAUCAAGUGCAUGGGCCCUGUUGGUGGAAAACACCAACAGAACCAAAAGUGUAUUUGUUCUUCUCUAACCUUAAGCAUAGUGAGCAAGACAAAGUUGAUGGAUGAUAAGUUCAUGAGUGUAGCACUUAUAACAUUUGUCAGAUCAGAUCGCUCAACCUUAUGGAAAGAUAAUCUAUUUAUGUAUAUGUCUUUUUCUUUAUAUCUCUCAAUGAUUGAAUGUGUAACAUUUUAGCUCAUAUGAUUAGGAGUGUGGGAUCAUGGAGGUAGUACUAGGAACAAGGAUUAAAGGACUAAACAUGUUGAAUCAGUUGGGUUGGUUAAUCUAGAGUUGUAAAUCAUACACGUUUGUCUCUUGUAUUUAUAUGAAUGCCAGAACCAAGGAGAAGCUUAUAAAAGUGAUAGUCAAGUACCUUAGGAUGUUACCUUGCUUGAAAAGUGAUG